Molecule: ribosomal RNA, 596 nt
Filed under: Flavobacterium glycines
Lineage: Bacteria; Pseudomonadati; Bacteroidota; Flavobacteriia; Flavobacteriales; Flavobacteriaceae
Description: bacterial SSU rRNA
Rfam family: Bacterial small subunit ribosomal RNA
Source: RNAcentral
GAUGAACGCUAGCGGCAGGCUUAACACAUGCAAGUCGAGGGGUAUAGUUUUCGGAACUAGAGACCGGCGCACGGGUGCGUAACGCGUAUGCAAUCUACCUUUUGCAGAGGGAUAGCCCAGAGAAAUUUGGAUUAAUACCUCAUAGUAUUAUAGAAUGGCAUCAUUUUAUAAUUAAAGUCACAACGGCAAAAGAUGAGCAUGCGUCCCAUUAGCUAGAUGGUAAGGUAACGGCUUACCAUGGCUACGAUGGGUAGGGGUCCUGAGAGGGAGAUCCCCACACUGGUACUGAGACACGGACCCAGACUCCUACGGGAGGCAGCAGUGAGAAUAUUGGUCAAUGGACGCAAGUCUGAACCAGCCAUGCCGCGUGCAGGAUGACGGUCCUAUGGAUUGUAAACUGCUUUUGUACGAGAAGAAACAACAUUACGUGUAAUGUCUUGACGGUAUCGUAAGAAUAAGGAUCGCUAACUCCGUGCCAGCAGCCGCGGUAAUACGGAGGAUCCAAGCGUUAUCCGGAAUCAUUGGGUUUAAAGGGUCCGUAGGCGGUUUAGUAAGUCAGUGGUGAAAGCCCAUCGCUCAACGAUGGAACGGCCAUU